CCUACGGGGGGCUGCAGUGGGGAAUAUUGGACAAUGGGCGAAAGCCUGAUCCAGCCAUGCCGCGUGUGUGAAGAAGGCCUUCGGGUUGUAAAGCACUUUCAGUGGGGAAGAAAGCCUUGGGGCUAAUACCCUCGAGGAAGGACAUCACCCACAGAAGAAGCACCGGCUAACUCCGUGCCAGCAGCCGCGGUAAUACGGAGGGUGCGAGCGUUAAUCGGAAUUACUGGGCGUAAAGCGCGCGUAGGCGGUCUGAUAAGCCGGUUGUGAAAGCCCCGGGCUCAACCUGGGAACGGCAUCCGGAACUGUCAGGCUAGAGUGCAGGAGAGGAAGGUAGAAUUCCCGGUGUAGCGGUGAAAUGCGUAGAGAUCGGGAGGAAUACCAGUGGCGAAGGCGGCCUUCUGGACUGAAACUGACGCUGAGGUGCGAAAGCGUGGGUAGCAAACAGGAUUAGAUACCCGAGUAGUC
This 465-nucleotide ribosomal RNA is filed under the name Vreelandella stevensii. RNAcentral's name for it is "partial 16S ribosomal RNA". It matches the Rfam family "Bacterial small subunit ribosomal RNA", at positions 338 to 795 of the family's 1533-position model. Lineage: Bacteria; Pseudomonadati; Pseudomonadota; Gammaproteobacteria; Oceanospirillales; Halomonadaceae. The record is from RNAcentral.